GUAACACGUGGGUAACCUGCCCUCGGGACCGGGAUAACUGGACGAAAGGACCGCUAAUACCGGAUAAGGCCACAUGGGCUUCGGCCCAAGGGGUCAAAGUCGGCCUCUCAAAUAAGCUGGCGCCCAAUGAGGGGCUCGCGUACCAUUAGCUUGUCGGUAGGGUAACAGUCUACCAAGGUCAAGAUGGUUAGCUGGUCUGAGAGGAUGAUCAACCACACUGGAACUGACACACGGUCCAGACUCCUACGGGAGGCAGCAGUGAGGAAUAUUGCGCAAUGGGGGAAACCCUUACGCAACAACGCCGCGUGGGUGAAGAAGGCCCUCGGGUUGUGAAGCCCUGUCACGUGCGAAGAACCCUUUUCAGGUUAAUACCCUGGAGAGCUGACGGUACCACCAAAGGAAGCACCGGCUAACUCCGUGCCAGCAGCCGCGGUAAGACGGAGCGGUGCAAUCGUAGUGCGGAAUUACUGGGCGUAUAGCGCGUGUAGGCGGUUUGAUAAGUCGAAUGUGAAAGCCCGGGGCUUAACCUCGGAAGCGCACUCGAAACUGUCAUGCUUGAGUACGGGAGAGGGAAGUGGAAUCCCUGGUGUAGAGGUGAAAUUCGUAAAUAUCAGGAGGAACAUCGGUGGCGAAUGCGGCUUCGUGGACCGAUACUGACGCUGAGAGGCGAAAGAGUGUGGAGCAAACAGGAUUAGAUACAUUGGUGGUACUACACUGUAAUACGGUGAUCAAUUAGGUGUAGCAGGGUAUUGACCCGUCAUGUGCUGGCGGUAACCGCAUUAAGUGCUCACGCUUGGGGAGUACAGCUCGCAAGAUGUAAACUCAAAGGAAUUGACGGGGGCCCGCACAACCGAUGGGGCAUGUGGUUUAAUUAGAUAGCAACGCGAAGAACCUUACCUGGGCUUGAAAUCGCCCGCACAGUCGUUGAAACACGAUCUUCUUCGGACACGGCUGACAGAUGCUGCAUGUCUGUCUUCAGCUCGUGUCGUGAGAUGUUGAGUUAAGUC
This 1007-nucleotide ribosomal RNA is filed under the name uncultured organism. RNAcentral's name for it is "bacterial SSU rRNA". It matches the Rfam family "Bacterial small subunit ribosomal RNA", at positions 110 to 1086 of the family's 1533-position model. The record is from RNAcentral.